Molecule: long non-coding RNA, 3145 nt
Filed under: Monomorium pharaonis (pharaoh ant)
Lineage: Eukaryota; Metazoa; Arthropoda; Insecta; Hymenoptera; Formicidae
Description: uncharacterized LOC114254716
Source: RNAcentral
UUAUUACCAUAAUUAUUGUAAAAAUUAAUCAUUUUCAACGAUUAGAUUAUAAUCUUACUUUUUCUUGCAACAUCGUUAACUAAUUAAACAGUUAUAUCGAAAGUUGUGCAAUUUCGUAAUCUUCCAUCGCGGCGCAAUAUCGCGAAAUAACGAAUGACUCGCUUCUUCUUGAAAGAAUCGGAUAUCUCUGCCUCUCGCAUCCGCGCCAUCAAUUGCAUUCUCGCGAGACCAAGGAAAUGCACCGGAGGAUAUUUAUACGUAACGAGAUUGCGCAGUUUGUAAGUACGUCUGUCGCGAUAAACAUAACAGAGAUGAUUACAAUUCUACCUCUCUUCCAGCGCUUUUAUCGCGAAGUUUUAAUAGUGAUUAUCGCGCGGCCGCGUUUUUCCACCGAUAAGUUGGUCGUUGCGUAUUCGAGCGCCGGCUCUUUUCGUGCCGACUCUAUGACGGAAGUUUCGGCACUAAACUAAUAUUUGCAUAAUAGCCGUGCGCGCCCGCUCUUCUCUCCCGCCGUUUAUUUCUGAAGUUUAAUUGUGUUCCUUUAGCAGUUACGGCGGGCGCGCGGUGCGGCCACGAUAUUACAACGAAAUAAUUCACAAACGCGGUAAACACUUCCGCUGUCGACUGUCAAGCGGGAGAGUAAUAGCGUUGCAAAUAUAAUAUUCGCGAUAUACGCGUCGCGCGGGAGACCUAUUAGAGACCGGCUAUCGAUUUGCGAUUCCGCGACGGCAAAUGAUUGUCGAUGGGAAUUACGCCCAUUGCAAGAGAAUGGGCGCGCCCGCAUUCUCCCCAUUCGAUCUUCUGUCUCUUUGAAUAUUUCUAUGAUUUUGUAAUUAACGUCAACGCCGAUGUACCUAUGUAUCUCCUCUGCGUACAUGUCAAGUCCAGUUCCUUUGAUCCACGUUCUCUGUCCGUUUUCUACGCGGCUGAAUUAAUUUGCAUACGAGUGCCAUAAAUGUCACAUGCAUAUUUCAUGAUAAAUACAUCUGGCGAAUGUAACUAUUCAUUUCGCGCGCUAUUCGCAAAGAUGACGCGAAGUUACAUCCGCUUUCACGGGCUAUGUUGUCAGUGGACGUGAGCGCUCUUUCCACGUGUCAGUUUAGCAAAAUACGAAUUUCAUAGUGGAUAAACAAAGUUCAGAAUCAACGAAUCCUUGACACUGAAUUUACAUGAAGAGAAAUUAUUUCGGGACGUAAUGUUUUUCCCCCCUUUCGUAAAAUGACAUAAUAAUUUCACAGAGAAACGGACUGAGCGUCGAUUUCGACGCGAUUUAUUUCCUUAUCGCGAUCAAUGUGCGCGUCGUUCAAGAGCGUUCGUUUCUUAAAAAACCGAGUAAACUUACGAAAGACGCAAAUUUCAAGGAAGAAAUCGGUGGAUAGGACACCGCCCCCUUCCGCCGCCCAUCUAUCCUUUUAGGGUCGGAAAACUAUUCAAUUUCAUAAUCCGAUUUGGCGUACGGUUGCGGGAAGCAGAAAACUUUCGAUUUAUGACACGCUUAGGACACAAAAUCCUCCGAAUCCACUAACCGCGCACUUCCCUCCUCGUUCUCUCUCUCCCACCCCCACGUAGAGAUGUAUUCUGCCAGAUGAGGGGGAGUGCAAUUUCCGUAAGAAGAAUAAGGUUGCGAGAAGCCGGCCGAGGUAGUUCUUAGCUCUCUUUGCGCCGGCAAUUACGAUAAAAAUAAGAUCACGGACGAUUCCCGAUCCGCACGCUCAACUUUUUCCUAUUUGCUCUUGAAAUUACAGUAACGCCUCGAGGCUCUCGCGCGGCUCGAAAUAAACAUUGCUAGAGUAAAGCAGUUCGCGUUAUUAAAGCCCCGCAAUCCCCGCGGCGAAUUAAGCAAAAAAGCCAUGACAAAAUCUGUCAGUUUGGAGAAACUUCGGUUGAUGACACUCUCCUGAAUUCAUACACAUACAAGGUGUGUUUCUCAAUAAUCCCCUUUCGAAACUUAGACGAUUUAUCUUUGAUGUUUGUUGCCGGGCCUCGGUCGCAUACUCGGGGCGGGCAGCAACCAAGCAAACUCUGACAGGGUGGCCGAUCCAUUAAUUAAGUUAAUUAACUCCCGACAGGUAACACGCCGCCGCUAUGGACGCCAAGUAAACUCUAAUGUCGGCCUAGAAACUGGCGUUGGCUGGCGUUAUCUCGCGCGUAUACGCGCGAUUACAAGAGAUUACACCAAAUCCGCCGUGAGUACACACGUACUUUUGUAUAAUACGCGCGUACAAUAAUUAAUGCACCUGUCUUUUUCCGCGUGGAUCUUAUAAAUUCGAAGAGCGCCGCGUUCAACAUGUAAAACCGUCCUAUAAAUUUACUUUUAUGCAAAAGCAAAAAAUUGCGUCUUUAUACAUAAUUUUAAUAUAGUUGAAUAUUAAACAUGUCAGAACGUAUAUCAAAUUUUGUUACUUAACGAGUAACUUAUAAAAUGUAAGAUAUCGCGUAAAAUUUUCAUUAAUUAGUUAUAAGAAACAGGAGUUUUGUAAAAAAAAUAUAUAUAUAUAUAUGUAUGUAUGUAUGUAGUAAAUAUUUGUAAAUUUUUGUGUGUUUUACAUAUAGCUAUAACAAAAUUUGUAGGUAUUUAUAUUAAAUAUAUAGAUGUAGGUGUGUAAGAAUAUGUGCAGCAGACUUCUUAAAAAAAUUUCCAAAAAGAGGCGCUACUUUUUUUCAUGUACUACAUCUAAAAUAUCCUUUAAAUCUUCUAAACACUUCUACGAGAGAGAUCGGUUCUUAGUUCCGGCAACUCACGGACACGGAAUUCGAUCGCACGCGAAUUCUAUAGCGGUCGCGGUUCACACGCCGAAGUUUCCCGACUCCGAUUACUCGAUCGUGAAAUCCCAUGCUGGGAGAUUGCAGACAGUUUGAGCUCGCAGCGGAUAUUUAAAUGAGAGAACGCGGCUGCAACUUAGUUGACUUGACCGCAUCGAAGAUCAAGGAGUGCAGUUCUCUCAAAGGGGAGACACAACUGUUACGCCAACCAGCACUUGUCUGUAUUAACGGCAGAGGUAUCUUCGUAAUCGCAGUUCCUGCGAUAAAGGUGCGUAAUCAGAGUUUAAUUUCAGAAUAGUAUCGCAAAGACAAUUGUCAGUCAAAUAUGUUGCAAUGUGUUCAAGAAGAAUGUUAUAUCGUUCAUUUAUUACAAUGACAUAAA